RNAcentral lists this long non-coding RNA (8071 nucleotides) under Equus asinus (donkey). RNAcentral's name for it is "lncRNA (ENSEASG00005036177.1)". The record is from RNAcentral. Lineage: Eukaryota; Metazoa; Chordata; Mammalia; Perissodactyla; Equidae.
AAUUCAGUAUGACUGGUGUCCUUAUAAGAAGAGGGAACUUGGACACGCAAUGAGAUACCAGGGAUGCGCACGUACAGCAGAAAGACUGUGUGAGGACACAGAGCGGCGUCUCUUUGUGUGCCGAGGAGAGAGGCCUCAAGAAAAACCAAACUUGCUGACACCUUGAUCUUGGACUUCCAGCCUCCAGAAUUGUUUGGACUCCGUACCUGAUGACGAUUUCUAACACCGCCCCUUUGGACAAGUGUGUCUGCACCUCUGAGCAAUGAAUUUAAAAAGAAACUUUUGGGAUACAACCCAUUUGUCUUAUAGGCUGUGGCGUCCAUUAAUUUUUGAGACCCUAAAGAGUUCCCCUGGGGGGAAAGGUGGCCGGUGCUCUGAUCAUCUUUGAAGCUCCAGAUGUUUUGAGAAUGGACUACGUUCUCCAUAUUGGAAAAUCUCAAGAAAUCCAAGGAUGGCGUUCAAAGCCGCCUUUGGGACCAGCAGCUGUCGUAAAACAGAAUAUAUUGUCCUUGAAGAGUUCCUGCCUUUUCUGCUUCUCGUGUUGGAAUGUGUGUGCUCAUGUGUGCUGGGAAACCCUUUCAAGUGGAACCCACCCCACUGAGUAAGCUGGGCCCUUAUCCAGUCCUCUCUCCUUUGUGACAGAGGCAGUGUUGGGUCACACCCCACUUUGUAUUUUGGCGGCAGCAGUGGCGACAGCUGUCACAGCAGACGGUUUUUGAUCGAUGGUGAGAUACGGCGGGAAGAGGGACUGGCGGGCUCGUUUCGACUUGCUCAUCUGUUUUUCGCUUGGGUUCAGGCACCGUGUGUUCACAUUUAAUUUUUCAACAUCUCAACAGCUUCUCAGUUUGUCCAAAACAUAAAAGACUCCUCUAAAGUCAGCAAGAAGCAUCUGCUAUUGCCGGAAAUGUUGAUUGGACCUUUUGGAAUCCAAUUUCAUGAUCGUUUCUCCUUCAUCUCCACCCACAGCACCUUCCUUCUUUUUUCCCCGAAGAGGCCCAUUGCUGGCAGCCACCCACCUUCAGUGCAUGCUUUGCUUGUUUAUUAUCUCUCAUCUUACUUGAGAUAAAUAGUUGCAAGAACAACUUCAGAGGUUUAUUAGUCUACACAAGACAGGAGAAACAAGGAAUGGUACCUGGAGAAGUAAAAAAGGGAGUUAUGCUUCAGAUUCCACCUUCCCAUGUGCUUCCAUCAAGAUGUAGAAGAUGGGUCUUGGUUAGUGCUUCAAGGCAAGGAUUGCCUUUAUUUGACUCCAGAAACAAUUGGUCUCUCCCUUCCUAACAGAGUGGUUGGGAUUAAGAAAUAUUCUGAUCGAAAGGGAGGAUGUUAUCACUCAUCUCAAACUGUGGACCCUGCUCUCUGACUACUGCUCCUUACGGGCCAUCUCUCCUUUCUUCCUCCAUGCUCACCCCACUUGCUCUCACCCUUCAUGAGUGUGUGAACUCUUCUCUGGAGCUGGAAAAAUCUCAUGCAGCUGCUGCCCAUGGAAGCUACGCCAACAUCACACGGCUGACCAUGGGUAAAGGAAACCGCAGAAAGUGAAACCGUGGAUAAGAGGAGACAACUGUAUCAUCUCCUUUUACAUCAUCUCUAGAAUUUUCUACACCUUCCUAUUUGAUGGGAAUAUGGAUGAAGCGCCAACCACGAGGAACCAUGUCAUCAGAUUUUGGGAUUGUGGCAGUUAUUGCAAGACUUUGAAAUUAAUGGCUCAGCCUUUAGAUAGGACUUAGAAUGUUUACACAGGACGUUAGAGACCACCUAAACGAAUCCUUCUAUUUUACAUACGGGGAAAUUGAGGCCCAGAUUAGGGAGGUGACUUAUCUGAGGUCACACAGCCACUUUGAGUCAUUGCCUUUCUUAUUCUACCCAAGUAUACUUGGUGGAUAAAUAUUUGUACUUUUAAAAAAGAUUACUGUGGACAUAUGCCCCCAUUUCCUUGGAUACCCAUUUAGGGGCCGUCAAAUUCUCUUUAUAAAUAAAUUAAAUACUCAGAUUGCAAUGUAAGCCAGUUUUCAUAUAAAGGAUUAAGCCUACUAAAGUUCAAUAACCUGGAAGGUCCAGUUAGGCAGCCCCUUCCUUGAGAAACGAGAGGAAUCCCCUGGCCCGGUAAUGGGCUCGCAUUCAGGAAACCAAAGCCAGGUCUUCCUGGCUCCUUCUUGGACUUUUCUGUGAUGUAAUCAGAGUCCCUUUGGGCUUGUUCCUCCGUAGAUGGUAGCUGGCUCUCCCUGCCUUCUGCAGGUUGGUGUUGUCAUUCUUGGAAGGGGCCCAGGCUGGAUGCUGCUCAUGUGAUUGGAGCUUGCUGGGUUGAGGGUGUUUAUCCAAAAUGCAUUACCUACUGGGCCUUGAUCCAAAGGGAGGAAGAGAGCUCGCCUCUUCCUGCGAGGAGUUCUAGAUUCCCAACCAGAGACAGCAAUGCCUUCAGGCCAGUCCUCUGCCUGAUUUGUCACUGAAAUUCUCCUUCUGUCCAGAUGUUAAUGGACAAGUCCUUCCUCUGCCCUCUGAGAGGAUUUCUGGUUGUGAUCGAAAAUUUGUGGGUUCCUGGUCUGGGUCUGUGUCUGAAGCCUCCUUCCCUAGACCUGCCACCUCCACAGAAGAUAUAAGGUGCAAACUGGGGACUCCUUAGAAUUAGCAGCACUGAACAUUGACUUAAAAUCUAUUUGUAACUGAGUUGAUUAUAAAGACAGCUUAUUAUUGUUUUGUUCAAUAACUGGAUAUUGAAUGAAUGAUAGAAGGUCCACUUGGAGAGAUGCUAAAGCAGUGGUUCCCAAACUGUGCUUCCCAUUAGAGUCCUCUGGGGGCUUUUAAACCUCAGUGCCCAUGUCAUACCCCAUACCAAUUAAGUCAGAAUUUUGGGAGGUGGGGCCCAGGUGUCACUAGUUGUUAGAACUCCCCAGGUGAUUCCAUUUACACCCAGUUUGACAACAAGUCUGAUAAAUCAGUGUUUCUCAAACUUUAAUAUAUAUAACAAUCUCCUGGGGGUCUUCUUGAACUGCACAUUCUGAUUCAGGAGGUCUGAGGCAAAGCCUGUAUUUCUAACGAACCCAGUUUAUGCUGAAGCUGCUGGUCCGGGGACCACAGUAUGAGUAGCAAGGUGUGAAAGGAUUGUUAACAAUUAGCUGAGGUGCUUGCUGCUAAGUGACAAAGGAGAGGCAGAGGUGGAAAGAGCUGUGAGGGCAGGGAGAGCUUCAGGGGGCACUGGGUCUCUCUGCUGGGCCCUGAAGGAAGGGCAGACCCCAAAAGAGAAAGAGAGGAAGCUUCCUCUGCUGCUGCUCAGGCUGAGUCUUUGAGGACUUGGAAUGUAAAACAACUGCCUACUCAGCAGAAACUUUGAAGAUAGCUGGCUGUUGAUGACAAAUCUGUUCCUUCAGCUUUACACUCUCAGAACUUCAGUGUCUGAAGGCCCUGGAAUGCUGGGUUCAACCUAGUCCUUUUGUUGCAAAUGAGAACACUGGGGUCACUCAGCCCGUGUGGCCUCAGGUACAGAGCCCACCAGCAGUGGGCCCAGGACUCCUGAGAGCUAGAGGGCUCCUUACGUGGCUUCAUCUCCAUCUGGGUCAUGGUGGCCUGGCAAGGCUGCCCCAUAUGGAUCGAGCUCAGCCCACAGCAGAGAGGGGCCCUUUCUGGGGGCCCAGGAUUCUCUCACGAGGAGUCAGGGGUCAUAUUUCUGCAGGGACCCACUCCCUGCCAUGGUCUGACCCUACUCCCUCUUAAGUUAUAUUUAUUCUCUAUAAUCCUGAAGUAGUCUGCCCAAUCAUUAUAUUUCUAGGUCGUAGUAUCCCCCUUGGUAAUUAAUAGGAGGUCAAGAUACGGAAGGAGAUCCCCCUGGAAAACAAAGAGGGGCUUUCACCUCCACACUCCUCUUUAUAGGAGGUUCUGGGAUAUUGGCUCAGAGAGAGCCCUCUGCACAUGCAAACCUCUGUGAAAACUUGUCUCUCAUGGCAGGAUUGUCCUUUCACUUCCAGUCAAGGUGAAGUGCAUGAUGGGUGGUGCAGGGUAGAGGGCUGGGAGGGGGUUAUGCCUUCCAUACAGUAGUGGAAACAUCUGAGCUGGCUGGUUGGACCCUGAGAGUGCAUUUGUCAUAUGAAGGGUCAUGUGAUGUGUCAGCUUACCAGGAUGGUGGUGACACAGUGGCGACACAUGCUAGGCCUCGGAGACCCAGAGAUGAGCAAGUCCCCCUUUCUGCCUGUGGGUUGCUCCUCUGGGCUGGAGGGGAGACAGACAAAUACAACAGCAUUUACAUUGAGACACGGUGAGGGAGGCUAGGCUGUCCCUGGGCACAAUGUGAAGUCUGCAAACUGUCAUUGGGCCCCUUUCUUCUCGGGUUCCUCUCCUCUGGUUCUCUGGCUCUCUGUUGCUCCCAUUUCCUCCCCUCUCCUGUCCCUCCUUCCCUGUCUUCACAUCUGGUGGAGACGAUGUUGGUGGUCAUUAGACAGUCACACUAAGAGGCAGAUAUGCUGACUCCACAGGGCUGUCCCCCUGCCCCUCAGGCCCCAGUGCUGGUUGUCAGACAUGCCAGGUAGGCUUUGGCAGAGAGUAGAAGAUUCCACAGCUGCAGAGCCUCGCAGUCGUUGCCACAAGGAGCCCUGCCAGCCUGACACUGAGCCCAGCAGCAGGACCUUAUCUGAAGGGAAAGGGUUGUGUGCCCUGGAGGAGGUGGGAGUGAGAGGCAGGGACUAUAGACCUUCCGGUCCACAGGUUCCACAUCUGUAAAGAGCGAUGGCCCGAACACACAAGCUGUAAGCAACAAGGGACACCGAACUAGUUAAGGGUUGUUUUCAGCCCUCAGUUAGAAUGGGAGGAAAAAUAUCAGACAGGAACAAGGUAGAAAGUCAGUGCUCGUUGCACUGCACUGCCUUGGAGGUGAGGGGCCUUGGGGGUGAAUGCUCAUGGACGUGAAUGCCCAUUGAGGUGAGUGCCUUAGAGGUGAGAGUCCUUGGAUGUAAGAGCCCAUGGAAGUGAGUGCCCUUGGAGGUGAAUGGCCUUGGAGGUGAGAGCCUCUGGAGGUGAGUGCCCUUGAAGGUGAGUGCUCAUGGAGGUGAGUGCCCUUGGGCACUGUCUUCAGAGUGGAGCUCAGAGACCUACAGCUGCCUCCUUGCUCUCCUGGCUCACUCACCCACUGGCUUCCAUUUGCUUUUCCAUAAAUGGUGCUCUGUGGCUUGAGGGCACCAGUGCCAAGGCAAAUACAUAGUCACUGCAGGCCCCUUGGGCUCUCUGCUGAUAUUUGGCAGAAGCUCCAACACCAAAUCCUGAUGUUAUCAUUUCCCCAAAAGCUGUUGCCUGCCCAGCUCUUGUGCUGAUAGAAAGCGCCCUUCCAGAGCAAGGGCCUGUCAAUCUGAAGAAAGCUUUUCAUAUGUGGUUGCUUUGAGUGCAUUAGGAUUGUGCUUUUAAAAGAGUGAAUGCACAGAUUGACGGGGAAUGGCUAAAAUCCAGAGGCAGGUUGGGAGGCAGGAGGAGAGGUUGAGAAGGAAAACCACAGUGGACUUGAGGUUUCACAAGAGUGCUUGUGAAAGGGCUGGGGGUGGGAAAAUUGGCCAGUAUUGUCACGGCUACAUAGUUGAGACGUUACUAGGGUAGGUUUUGGUAAUAAUGAAGGUAUCUUCUCACGUACAUCGAAACAUAGUCUAACAUCUGUACAGAUGUUCCCAGUCGCCAAGCACUCAUUAUGGGUGUUCAUCUCAUUCUUGAUUUCAUCUCCUCUUCUGUUCAGGGGUCAGAUUUUCAACUGCUUUCCCAAACAUACCCUCACUUUGUCUCAGUCCUUUUCCUUCCGUAGUAGGAAGGAGGUUGACAAUUUCAUCUUAUUAAUUUUAUGUGCAAAGAAAAUGUAAUUUUUAAUUAUUUGUGAUGGAUAUAAUGUUACUCCAGCACCCUCACCCAGCUAGGUAGAAAAGAAAACACUUUCCUAGUAUUUCAACUUGCUAAUUAAAGCAUCCAAGCCUCUUCUGGUUGAAAAGUGUCUUUUAGCUUAAAAUUUCUUUGUGUCUUUGGGGAAACAUUUCUUUUGGGUAAAUUCUCAGUCUUUCAGAUUUUUACUCCUACCUUUUCUCCUCUCCAAGAGGGUGGUGGUGAGGCCUCACAGGAAUGGGGAGGGGACCUCAGAUGGCUGCACGUGGGCUUGCACGGACCCCUGGGACCUUUCUGCACUCUACAGCCAGGUGGGAGAUGGGUCUGGUCCCUUGGCCCCUGUGCCGGGCCUGCUCACUGCAGCUGGCCCUUGCAGCGCUUUAGGACCAGCCACUGAUGAAGGCCAUUGGUCUGGCUAUUUGCUAAAUCACACUCUGUUGAGAACCCUGCAUCUUCCCUUUCCCUCAGUGGGUUACACAGGGCCUUCUCCCUCGACUGGAUUUUUCUCUGGAGCCUAUCCACUCUCUCUGAUUUAAUCCCUUCCCUCAGCCCCACAGUGGGCUAUGUCCAUGAAAAGACAUCAGUCCUGCUGUUCUCACCCUCCCUUUGGAACCAUGGAGCUAUCUUUUGUGAAAAGGGAGGUGUUAUGGGUUCAGUUGUGUCCCCUGCAAAAAACAUACGUUGGGCUCCUAACCCCCAGUACCUCAGAAUGUGACCUUAUUUGGAGAUUGGGUGCUUACAGAGGCAAUCAAGUUAAAAUGGAGUCAUUAGCAUGAACCCUAAUCCAGUAUGACAGGAGUCCUCACGAAAAAGGGUGAAAAAGUGGGGAAACCUGGAUGCAGAGACACAUACAGAGGGAAGAUGAUGUGAAGACACAGGGAGAAGGCAGCCAUCUGCAAGUCAAGGAGAGGGGCCUGGAACAGAUCGUUCCCUCAAGGCGCUCAGAAGGAACCAACCCUGCUGACACCUUGACCUUGGGCUCCUAGUCUCCAGAACCGGGAGACAAUGAGUUUCUGUUGUUUAAGCUGCCCAGUUUGUGGUACUCUGUUUUGGCAGCCCCGGCAAACUAAUAUUGGAGGAAUUGACAUUUUUUUUUUACCCUGAGUGAGUAAAGUAGUCUUCCGAAUUCUAGUAGUCAGCUCUCCUGUCGGUACUGGGUGCUCUUGAUACUAAAUAGUAAAACCUCCUUGGAAACUUUGUGGGUUGGGACUGACUAGAGAUUGAUGUCUCUCAUUUGUGUUGGACAAAGGAAUUUAGGAGGGGCUAGAAAGGAAAUUUCCCCUCCUGUUUCAAGGAGGAUGUAUGGUUCCAGACUUUUCCAUGAAAAUGAGAAUUAUUUACCAUUGUUUUGGCUUAGGAUUGCAUUUCCACUUAAUCCAGGUUCUUCCUUGAUCACAUCUGGCCUUUCCCAUUUCUAAACCAGGCUAGCAGGACCACAGGCCUCAGCCCUCUGCUUGCCCCCGUGUCCAAAGCAAUGCCUCGCAGCUUUCUACAGCCAACCAAAGGGAUACUAAGUGACAAGGUGACACACAUCAGCCUACCUAUCAUAAUGGGUGCUCAGGCCUUUAUCAAAGUCAGGGCAUCAUUGAAAUACGGACUUUGGAAAUACUCUCCCCAGGGAUGGCUGCCAGAUGCUGGGUACCCCCAGAUGUGACAACUGUGUAGACACAUCCAGACAUCUAAGGUGGUGCUCAUUCUGCUGGCCCAGCUCCUUCCACCAAGAUCUGGGCUUAAGCUAUUUCUCCUCAUGGUAUUUCUAUGGCUUUUGAGCCUUUCAAAACACUCCUACUGAAUCUCACUAAGGAGAUGAUAACUCUGAAACCAUUAAUAAAGGCUCUUGAACUAAAAGAAGGAGAGGAUGGAAAUUCAGAAAAACAAAUUUGGAGUCAGAUGACACACUAGCACUCCUGUGGCCCCAGUCUUUGAUUUUACUGAUGCUGAAAUCAGGUCCCAGAUGUUGUGUGAUUGGCCCAGGGUCACAGAGUAAGUUAGAGGCAGAACAGGGAACAGAACCCAGACCUGCCUUCUAAGUUGUCCAGGCUCCUUCCUCUACAGAAGAGGCGAGAUGAGGCAGCUGAGGUUGUUGACUGAGGGUCCACAGCCUUCCAUGUUAGCGAUCUUUUUCCUAUAGCAAAGCUGGUAUCUUUUCCUGACACUUGAAAUCCUCCAGGCUCCCUGGCUCCAGUGCCUUUCCUGCCUCAUUCGGAGUCCUGCACCACCUGGUCCUGAC